Molecule: ribosomal RNA, 407 nt
Filed under: uncultured bacterium
Lineage: Bacteria
Description: partial 16S ribosomal RNA
Rfam family: Bacterial small subunit ribosomal RNA
Source: RNAcentral
AUUGAACGCUAGCGGGAUGCUUUACACAUGCAAGUCGAACGGAGUGGCGGACGGGUGAGUAAUAUAUCGGAACGUGCCCAGUAGCGGGGGAUAACUACUCGAAAGAGUGGCUAAUACCGCAUACUAUUGGAGCGGCCCAUAUCGGAUUAGCUAGUUGGUGGGGUAAAGGCUCACCAAGGCAACGAUCCGUAGCUGGUUUGAGAGGACGACCAGGCAGAAUGGAAGUGAGAAAAGGGGCAGACUCCUACGGGAGGCAGGAGUUGGGAAUAGUGUACAAGGGGGGAAACCUGGAGGGAGCCAGGGCGGGUGUGGUAAGAAGGCCUGCGGGUUGUAAAGUACUGUUAGCGAGGAGGCGUUACUGGCAGAAGAAGCACCGGCGAACUCCGUGCCAGCAGCCGCGGUAAUAC